UGGGGAAUAUUGCACAAUGGAGGGAACUCUGAUGCAGCGACGCCGCGUGAGUGAUGAAGGAAUUCGUUUCGUAAAACUCUGUUCUAUGGGAAGAAAAGGACUGUACCAUAGGAGAAAGCUCCGGCUAAAUACGUGCCAGCAGCCGCGGUAAUACGUAUGGAGCGAGCGUUGUCCGGAAUUAUUGGGCGUAAAGGGUGCGCAGGCGGCUUUACAAGUUGGAUGUGAAAUAUUGUGGCUCAACCACAAACGUGCAUCCAAAACUGCAAAGCUUGAGUUAAGGAGAGGUAAGUGGAAUUCCUGGUGUAGCGGUGGAAUGCGUAGAUAUCAGGAGGAAUACCGGUGGCGAAGGCGACUUACUGGACUUAAACUGACGCUCAGGCACGAAAGAGUGGGGAGCAAACAGG
Molecule: ribosomal RNA, 404 nt
Filed under: Fusobacteriota bacterium
Lineage: Bacteria; Fusobacteriati; Fusobacteriota
Description: Fusobacteria bacterium partial 16S ribosomal RNA
Rfam family: Bacterial small subunit ribosomal RNA
Source: RNAcentral